GAUGAACGCUGGCGGCGUGCCUAAUACAUGCAAGUCGAGCGAACAGACGAGGAGCUUGCUCCUCUGACGUUAGCGGCGGACGGGUGAGUAACACGUGGAUAACCUACCUAUAAGACUGGGAUAACUUCGGGAAACCGGAGCUAAUACCGGAUAAUAUAUUGAACCGCAUGGUUCAUUAGUGAAAGACGGUUUUGCUGUCACUUAUAGAUGGAUCCGCGCCGCAUUAGCUAGUUGGUAAGGUAACGGCUUACCAAGGCGACGAUGCGUAGCCGACCUGAGAGGGUGAUCGGCCACACUGGAACUGAGACACGGUCCAGACUCCUACGGGAGGCAGCAGUAGGGAAUCUUCCGCAAUGGGCGAAAGCCUGACGGAGCGACGCCGCGUGAGUGAUGAAGGUCUUCGGAUCGUAAAACUCUGUUAUUAGGGAAGAACAAAUGUGUAAGUAACUAUGCACGUCUUGACGGUACCUAAUCAGAAAGCCACGGCUAACUACGUG
RNAcentral lists this ribosomal RNA (497 nucleotides) under uncultured bacterium. RNAcentral's name for it is "partial 16S ribosomal RNA". It matches the Rfam family "Bacterial small subunit ribosomal RNA", at positions 28 to 507 of the family's 1533-position model. The record is from RNAcentral.